This 1434-nucleotide ribosomal RNA is filed under the name Bacillus sp. MMR-1. RNAcentral describes it as "partial 16S ribosomal RNA". It matches the Rfam family "Bacterial small subunit ribosomal RNA", at positions 31 to 1364 of the family's 1533-position model. Lineage: Bacteria; Bacillati; Bacillota; Bacilli; Caryophanales; Bacillaceae. The record is from RNAcentral.
GAAGACGCCACGAAUCCUAUACAUGCAAGUCAAGCGGACAAAAGAGAAAGCCCGCUCCCGUACAAUGUUAGCGGCGGACGGGUGAGUAACACGUAAGCAACCUCCCCACAAGACUGGGAUAACUCCGAGAAACCGGAGCUAAUACCGCACAAUUCCUUGAACCACAUAGUUCUAGGAUGAAAGACGGUUUCGGCCGUCACCUACAGAUGGACCCGCGGCGCAUUAACUAGUUACCGACAUAACCACUCACCAAGGAGACAAUGCACAACAGACCUGAAAGGGUGAUCACCCACACCGGGACUGAAACACGACCCAAAAUCCUAAGAGAGGCAGCAGUAAGAAACCCCCCGCAAUGGACGAAAGUCUGACGAAGCAACGCACCGUAUAGUAACGAAAGUUUUCGGAUCGUAAAGCUCUGUUGUUAGAGAAAAACAAAUCCAAAAACAACAAGGCUCACCACCGCCUGACGGGUACCCACACCCAAAAACCACCUCGGACUAAAUACAUGCCACCAACCCGCAGCAAUCAAAGAGGAGGGGGCAAAGCGGUUGUCCGGAAAUCAUUGGAGGCGUAAAGGGAGCCCCCCACGCGGUUUCUAAAAUCUGAUGUGAAAAGCCCCCCGGCCCAAAGCCGGGGAAGGCCUCAUUGGAAACCGGGAAACUUGGGUCCAAAAAGGAGAAAAGGGGAACUACAACUGUACCGUGGGAAAUGCGUAGAGACGUGGAGAAACACCACCGGCGCAAACGAAAAUCUGGAAUCCGUAACUCACUCUCAGGAACAAAAACGUGGGGAGCGAAAAAGAGGCUUAAAUACCCCGUGAGUGGUCCCCGGCCCCAUAAAACCAAGAGUGAUAAAAGUGAAGCGGGUCUGCCCCCCCCUAAGUGCUGCAAAAAAACGCAAUUAAACUACCCCCCCCUGGGGGAAGACCCGUCCCCACGCGGAAAGACUAAAACCAAGGGAUUUGGGGCCCGCGCACACCAAAGGAAGCAAACCUUGUUUUAUAUUUCGAAGCAACGCAAAACCACCAACCAAGUCUUUGAAAACCCCCUAACAACCUAAGGGGGGGGGUUUCCCUUUCGGGGACACAUUACCGGGCGGUGCAUGGUGGUGCUCAGCCCGUGUGUUGGGAUGUUGGGUUAAUUCCGACAAAAAGGACAACCCUUGACUGUAGAGACAAAAAAUUAGCUAAGCACUUUAAGUUGACUGCCGAUAAAAAAUCGGAGGAAGAUAGGAAGAAGGUCAAACCAUCAAACCCCUUUUUACUUGGGCUACACAGGGGUUACAAUGGAUAUAACAAAGGGAGGCGAGUUUGCAAAAUACAUCCAAUUCCAAAAAGCAGUUUUCACAUCAGAAAGCCCUCUGCAACUCGCUCACACAAAACAGAAAUGGCUAAUAUAUCGGAAUCGCACACGGCUACACUGGGGAAAAUUAUAG